AGGGUUCGAUUCUGGCUCAGGAUGAACGCUAGCUACAGGCUUAACACAUGCAAGUCGAGGGGCAGCAUGUUGGUUGCUUGCAACCGAUGAUGGCGACCGGCGCACGGGUGAGUAACGCGUAUCCAACCUUCCCUAUAGUAGAGGAUAGCCCGGCGAAAGUCGGAUUAAUACUCUAUGUUGUUCAAUGCAGACAUCUAAAAUGGAACAAAGGUUUACCGCUAUAGGAUGGGGAUGCGUCUGAUUAGGUAGUCGGCGGGGUAACGGCCCACCGAGCCAUCGAUCAGUAGGGGUUCUGAGAGGAAGGUCCCCCACAUUGGAACUGAGACACGGUCCAAACUCCUACGGGAGGCAGCAGUGAGGAAUAUUGGUCAAUGGGCGCGAGCCUGAACCAGCCAAGUAGCGUGCAGGAUGACGGCCCUAUGGGUUGUAAACUGCUUUUAUACAGGGAUAAAGUGGGGAACGUGUUCCCUUUUGUAGGUACUGUAUGAAUAAGGACCGGCUAAUUCCGUGCCAGCCGCAGC
This 521-nucleotide ribosomal RNA is filed under the name uncultured bacterium. Its description in RNAcentral is "bacterial SSU rRNA". It matches the Rfam family "Bacterial small subunit ribosomal RNA", at positions 8 to 518 of the family's 1533-position model. The record is from RNAcentral.